RNAcentral lists this transfer RNA (57 nucleotides) under Corynebacterium sp. RNAcentral describes it as "tRNA-Val(gac)". It matches the Rfam family "tRNA", at positions 9 to 63 of the family's 71-position model. Rfam says of the family: Transfer RNA (tRNA) molecules are approximately 80 nucleotides in length. RNAcentral also lists the same sequence under 5 other names. The record is from RNAcentral. Lineage: Bacteria; Bacillati; Actinomycetota; Actinomycetes; Mycobacteriales; Corynebacteriaceae.
AGCUCAGCGGGAGAGCGCUUCCCUGACACGGAAGAGGUCACUGGUUCAAUCCCAGUA